Long non-coding RNA from Nothoprocta perdicaria, 265 nucleotides. RefSeq lists it as uncharacterized. The transcript is spliced from 3 exons. The record is from RefSeq and is a predicted model, not a curated record. NCBI's taxonomy places the organism in Eukaryota, Metazoa, Chordata, Aves, Tinamiformes, Tinamidae.
CACGCGCCGCUACCAUGUGUGGGUCGGCGCCGAAACGGGCGCCCUCAAAGGCGUGGACCUGCGGCGGAAACAGGCGACGAACUUCACGAGCGGCGGGAGCCUGAACCGGGCCCAGGGCGUGUGCGCGCUCUGCUGGGGCGACGCCGCCGAGAACCAGGUCCUCGUGGGCUGCUUGGACCGGGCCGUGAGGGUCUUCAGCACCGAGAAGGGAACGUUCACCGGGACGCGGCUCUGCCCCGGCGGCAGCGGCACCUUCUGCGGCCUG